UGACCAUCUGUACCUCAAAAGAAAAUUUGGGCGGACAAAAGCUACAGAACAACCUCGAGAAAUGAUUCUUGCAAAGCCAGGUUGGUGAGGUCUGACAGGUUUUGUCACUUGAUGGAGGUAGACAUGCUCACUGCAUUGGAGUGACAGAGGGAAUCCUGCAGGAAGAUUGACUGUACGCCUGGGUGAAUGACUAAGCUUUUAUGGAAAUAACCUCAUGCUGUGGCACCUGUCACCUAUUGCAGGAGACUGGCAGGAUAUUGGAGAAUUGGAUUGGAGUUGGUAGCAAUUAGAGCACUGGCCAUGUGUGAAGAUCUAUCAAAACUCAUUCAGUAGCUGAUAAAUAUGCAAUGCUGCCUUACAGGAGGAGAUACAACACUGCACAAACUCCAAAGGUGCCAGAAUGGAAGGAAAAGAGGAGGAGAAACAUCAUCACUGAAUUUGACAGAGCAGACUCACGUCUUUUGGAAAUCCCACACGCUGUACUCUGGCCAGUUGAUGUAGCACACGACACGUCCUGGCAGCUGUGCAGUGCUGGAAAAAUAG
Long non-coding RNA from Carassius auratus (goldfish), 543 nucleotides. RefSeq lists it as uncharacterized. NCBI's taxonomy places the organism in Eukaryota, Metazoa, Chordata, Actinopteri, Cypriniformes, Cyprinidae. The record is from RefSeq and is a predicted model, not a curated record. The transcript is spliced from 3 exons.